UGUCGUCAGCUCGUGUUGUGAAAUGUUGGGUUAAGUCCCGCAACGAGCGCAACCCUUAUCCUUUGUUGCCAGCGGUCCGGCCGGGAACUCAAAGGAGACUGCCAGUGAUAAACUGGAGGAAGGUGGGGAUGACGUCAAGUCAUCAUGGCCCUUACGACCAGGGCUACACACGUGCUACAAUGGCGCAUACAAAGAGAAGCGACCUCGCGAGAGCAAGCGGACCUCAUAAAGUGCGUCGUAGUCCGGAUUGGAGUCUGCAACUCGACUCCAUGAAGUCGGAAUCGCUAGUAAUCGUGGAUCAGAAUGCCACGGUGAAUACGUUCCCGGGCCUUGUACACACCGCCCGUCACACCAUGGGAGUGGGUUGCAAAAGAAGUAGGUAGCUUAACCUUCGGGAGGGCGCUUACCACUUUGUGAUUCAU
Molecule: ribosomal RNA, 422 nt
Filed under: Escherichia coli
Lineage: Bacteria; Pseudomonadati; Pseudomonadota; Gammaproteobacteria; Enterobacterales; Enterobacteriaceae
Also listed under: 1 other name
Description: bacterial SSU rRNA
Rfam family: Bacterial small subunit ribosomal RNA
Source: RNAcentral